GAUGAACGCUGGCGGCGUGCUUAACACAUGCAAGUCGAACGGUGAAGGCGGAGCUUGCUCUGCUGGAUCAGUGGCGAACGGGUGAGUAACACGUGAGCAAUCUGCCCCUGACUCUGGGAUAAGCGCUGGAAACGGCGUCUAAUACUGGAUACGAGCUGCGAAGGCAUCUUCAGCAGCUGGAAAGAACUUCGGUCAGGGAUGAGCUCGCGGCCUAUCAGCUUGUUGGUGAGGUAACGGCUCACCAAGGCGUCGACGGGUAGCCGGCCUGAGAGGGUGACCGGCCACACUGGGACUGAGACACGGCCCAGACUCCUACGGGAGGCAGCAGUGGGGAAUAUUGCACAAUGGGCGAAAGCCUGAUGCAGCAACGCCGCGUGAGGGACGACGGCCUUCGGGUUGUAAACCUCUUUUAACAGGGAAGAAGCGAAAGUGACGGUACCUGCAGAAAAAGCGCCGGCUAACUACGUG
RNAcentral lists this ribosomal RNA (468 nucleotides) under uncultured bacterium. Its description in RNAcentral is "partial 16S ribosomal RNA". It matches the Rfam family "Bacterial small subunit ribosomal RNA", at positions 28 to 507 of the family's 1533-position model. The record is from RNAcentral.